This 425-nucleotide ribosomal RNA is filed under the name uncultured bacterium. RNAcentral's name for it is "bacterial SSU rRNA". It matches the Rfam family "Bacterial small subunit ribosomal RNA", at positions 355 to 775 of the family's 1533-position model. The record is from RNAcentral.
UCGAGGAUCUUCGGCAAUGGGCGCAAGCCUGACCGAGCGACGCCGCAUGUGGGAUGAAGGCCUUCGGGUUGUAAACCACUGUCAGAGGGGAUGAAAUGCCAUAGGGCACUCUCUAUGGUUUGACAGAUCCUCAGAGGAAGGGUGGGCUAAGUUCGUGCCAGCAGCCGCGGUAAGACGUACCACCCAAACGUUAUUCGGAAUCACUGGGCUUAAUGAGUCCGUAGGCGGCCAAGAAAGUUGGGUGUGAAAUACCUCAGCUCAACUGAGGAAUUGCGCUCAAAACUACUUGGCUCGAGAAAGACAGAGGUGAGCGGAACUGAUGGUGGAGCGGUGAAAUGCAUUGAUAUCAUCAGGAACACCGGUGGCGAAAGCGGCUCACUGGGUCUUUUCUGACGCUGAGGGACGAAAGCUAGGGGAGCGAACGG